RNAcentral lists this RNase P RNA (572 nucleotides) under Treponema sp. RNAcentral describes it as "RNase P RNA component class A". It matches the Rfam family "Bacterial RNase P class A". From Rfam's summary of the family: Ribonuclease P (RNase P) is a ubiquitous endoribonuclease, found in archaea, bacteria and eukarya as well as chloroplasts and mitochondria. Its best characterised activity is the generation of mature 5'-ends of tRNAs by cleaving the 5'-leader elements of precursor-tRNAs. Lineage: Bacteria; Pseudomonadati; Spirochaetota; Spirochaetia; Treponematales; Treponemataceae. The record is from RNAcentral.
AGCGAUGAACCAGGCGCCGCGGCGGCGAUCCCCAGGGAUCGGCCGCCGAGGAAAGUCCGGACUCCGCGGGGCGCGAUGCCGGGUAACGCCCGGGCGGGGGGAGGGGUUCCAAGACCGCCGGUUUUGGAAACAAAAGGCCCCCUGACAGACAGCGCAGCAGAAAGAAUACCGCGAAGGACCGCCGGCUUGUCCGGCGGUCCCCGUAAGGGUGAAAUGGCGGGGUAAGAGCCCACCCCGGCGGCGGCGACGCCGCCGGUAUCAUUCUGGCGCCGCCGGGAGCCGGUUUUGGGGUUUCGCGCAAGCGAUCCUCAAGACUCUUCCGGCGGGCCGGAAAAGGCAAGCCUCAUCGGGAGCAAGGUCAAGCAAUGCGUAAGAGGGGAAAACCCUUUUGCCGGGGCCCGCCGGUUAAGCAUGGGUAGACCGCCGGAGACGGCCGGUAACGGCCGUCCCAGACAGAUGGCGCCGGUUUGGCCGCGUAAACGCCCGACGGCGGGGUCUUUCGCGAGACCCCGUCCAAAAGCGUGAACACCGGCGAAACCAAACAGAAUCCGGCUUAUGGUUCAUCGCUUUUU